This 800-nucleotide ribosomal RNA is filed under the name Microbacterium sp. JSM 2215018. RNAcentral's name for it is "bacterial SSU rRNA". It matches the Rfam family "Bacterial small subunit ribosomal RNA", at positions 31 to 846 of the family's 1533-position model. The record is from RNAcentral. Lineage: Bacteria; Bacillati; Actinomycetota; Actinomycetes; Micrococcales; Microbacteriaceae.
GGGCGGGGGCGGGUCUUCACAUGCAGUCCGAACGGUGAAGCCAAGCUUGCUUGGUGGAUCAGUGGCGAACGGGUGAGUAACACGUGAGCAACCUGCCCUGGACUCUGGGAUAAGCGCUGGAAACGGCGUCUAAUACUGGAUAUGAGCUUUCACCGCAUGGUGGGGGUUGGAAAGAUUUUUCGGUCUGGGAUGGGCUCGCGGCCUAUCAGCUUGUUGGUGAGGUAAUGGCUCACCAAGGCGUCGACGGGUAGCCGGCCUGAGAGGGUGACCGGCCACACUGGGACUGAGACACGGCCCAGACUCCUACGGGAGGCAGCAGUGGGGAAUAUUGCACAAUGGGCGGAAGCCUGAUGCAGCAACGCCGCGUGAGGGAUGACGGCCUUCGGGUUGUAAACCUCUUUUAGCAGGGAAGAAGCGAAAGUGACGGUACCUGCAGAAAAAGCGCCGGCUAACUACGUGCCAGCAGCCGCGGUAAUACGUAGGGCGCAAGCGUUAUCCGGAAUUAUUGGGCGUAAAGAGCUCGUAGGCGGUUUGUCGCGUCUGCUGUGAAAUCCCGAGGCUCAACCUCGGGCCUGCAGUGGGUACGGGCAGACUAGAGUGCGGUAGGGGAGAUUGGAAUUCCUGGUGUAGCGGUGGAAUGCGCAGAUAUCAGGAGGAACACCGAUGGCGAAGGCAGAUCUCUGGGCCGUAACUGACGCUGAGGAGCGAAAGGGUGGGGAGCAAACAGGCUUAGAUACCCUGGUAGUCCACCCCGUAAACGUUGGGAACUAGUUGUGGGGACCAUUCCACGGUUUCCGUGA